AUUGAACGCUGGCGGCAGGCCUAACACAUGCAAGUCGAGCGGAAGAAGGGUGCUUGCUCCUGGAUUCAGCGGCGGACGGGUGAGUAAUGCCUAGGAAUCUGCCUGGUAUUGUUUGAUAACGUCCUGAAACGGGCGCUUAUACCGCAUACGUCCUGAUUUUGAAAGUGUGUGAUCUUCGGACCUCACGCUAUCUUAUUUGCCUAGUUCGGAUUAGCUAGUUGGUUGGGUAAAGGCCUACCAAGGCGACGAUCCGUAACUGGUCUGAGAGGAUGAUCAGUCACACUGGAAGUGAGACACGGACAAGACUACUACGGGAGGCAGCAGUGGGGAAUAUUGGACAAAGGGCGAAAGCAUGAUCCAGCAAAGCCGAGUGUGUGAAGAAGGUCUUCGGAUUGUAAAGCAAUUUAAGUGGGGAGGAAGGGCAGUAAGUUAAUAAAUUGCUGGAGUGACGUUACCAACAGAAUAAGCACCGGCUAACUACGUG
Molecule: ribosomal RNA, 484 nt
Filed under: uncultured bacterium
Lineage: Bacteria
Description: partial 16S ribosomal RNA
Rfam family: Bacterial small subunit ribosomal RNA
Source: RNAcentral